UACGGAGGGGGCUAGCGUUGUUCGGAAUUACUGGGCGUAAAGCGCACGUAGGCGGACUGGAAAGUCAGGGGUGAAAUCCCGGGGCUCAACACCGGAACUGCGUUUGAAGCUCCCAGUCUUGAGGUCGAGAGAGGUGAGUGGAAUUCCGAGUGUAGAGGGGAAAUUCGUAGAUAUUCGGAGGAACACCAGUUGCGAAGGCGUCUCACUGGCUCGAUACUGACGCUGAGAUUCGAAUGCGUGGCGAGCAAAUAGG
RNAcentral lists this ribosomal RNA (253 nucleotides) under uncultured bacterium. Its description in RNAcentral is "partial 16S ribosomal RNA". It matches the Rfam family "Bacterial small subunit ribosomal RNA", at positions 524 to 776 of the family's 1533-position model. The record is from RNAcentral.